CAUUUUGAAAGUUUUGGUCUACUCUUUCAAGCAUGUUGACCAGUUGGUAAUAUUGGCAGUUUCUGUUCGGAUGUUAUUCCAGGACGCAUUAUCAACGCAUCAAAAUGACCCGAGGAGGGACCAAGGAGGUUUAAAAAAUCAGGGCAAGAGAGAGGAGGCUGGCUAA
RNAcentral lists this long non-coding RNA (166 nucleotides) under Neogobius melanostomus (round goby). RNAcentral's name for it is "lncRNA (ENSNMLG00000009187.1)". Lineage: Eukaryota; Metazoa; Chordata; Actinopteri; Gobiiformes; Gobiidae. The record is from RNAcentral.